Molecule: transfer RNA, 76 nt
Filed under: Escherichia coli
Lineage: Bacteria; Pseudomonadati; Pseudomonadota; Gammaproteobacteria; Enterobacterales; Enterobacteriaceae
Also listed under: 3 other names
Description: tRNA-Met
Rfam family: tRNA
About the family: Transfer RNA (tRNA) molecules are approximately 80 nucleotides in length. Their secondary structure includes four short double-helical elements and three loops (D, anti-codon, and T loops).
Source: RNAcentral
GGCCCUUUAGCUCAGUGGUUAGAGCAGGCGACUCAUAAUCGCUUGGUCGUUGGUUCAAACCCAACAGGGGACACCA